This 271-nucleotide ribosomal RNA is filed under the name uncultured archaeon. RNAcentral describes it as "partial 16S ribosomal RNA". It matches the Rfam family "Archaeal small subunit ribosomal RNA", at positions 477 to 747 of the family's 1478-position model. The record is from RNAcentral.
CAGCGCCACAAGUGGUAACCAUAGUUAUUGGGCCUAAAGCGUCCGUAGCCUGUUCUGUAAAUCUUCUGUGAAAUCGUUGAGCUCAACUUAACGGACUGCAGAAGAGACUACAAGACUUGGGACCGGAAGGAGUCAGAAGUAUUUCUAGGGGAGCGGUAAAAUGUUAUAAUCCUAGAAAGACUACCUGUGGCGAAGGCGUCUGACUAGUACGGAUCCGACGGUGAGGGACGAGAGCUAGGGGAGCAAUCCGGAUUAGAUACCCGAGUAGUCC